Non-coding RNA from Mycena alexandri, 98 nucleotides. The record is from the annotation of a GenBank genome assembly. NCBI's taxonomy places the organism in Eukaryota, Fungi, Basidiomycota, Agaricomycetes, Agaricales, Mycenaceae.
GGCCCGGUGGCAUAACUGGUAACGCGCGCGUUUGCAGUAUUGUGAAAGGUUGCAUAAUCUACAAAUGCGAGAACCUCGUUCGAUUCGAGGUCGGGCCA